UCCCCAAGGAGGGAGAGAGAACAGUGAGGGGAGUCUCCGUGGGGCAGGGACUGCAGAGGAAGGUCCCCGUGGGACGACGGGCGGCAAGGGGGGUCCCGGGGCGCGAAGGGAGGGUCCCGCCGGCGAGCCCCGCCCCGGCAGCCGCCCUAGGUGCAGCGGGGGCCGAGCCGGUGCCGCCCCUUCCCCGCUUGGGUCCCCUCUGCCCUGCCGGCAGCCGACAGGGAAGCGCUGGCAGCGCCGGCCGGGACGCAUCUUGACCUCAGCCCCGCGUCCAGGUCUCGUCGGGAAACGCUCAGCCGGGCGAGAGCCCUCCUGCUCCCACCCUGUGUAAAUUCUGUCCUCCUGGGGCUUCGCUCCACCAAGCUUACUGCUUUUAUGAGGAGGAGAAACGAUAUAACGUUUUAUGUCCUAAGAAAGAAAGGGAAGGGAAACAUUGUUACAGAUAAUAAAAACAACUGAUUUGUACUCAAUAAACAUAUUUAUUGUAUCAACAAUUAAAACAUUGCCAUCAAACGCUCCUACUGUUUACUUACUGUUGCCUUUCACUUUUCACUUCAGGCAAUAAAAUAAUUUCUUAUGUUCCCAUUUGUUUCUAGGCUUUCUUAUAAUAAUUUCUUUUUUCUUAUCCUGAGAUGAUUCUAUAGAAUUUAUAGUUCUAUGCUUCUGGGGAAUGCUUUUAUCCAAACAAAUUAGAUUUCAGUGAAAGCAUAUCUGUUAAUGGGAUACUUUUAAUAAGUAGUUGAUGGACUACUGAAUUUCGAGGCCUUACCUAUGCUGCGUCUAUCUGUCUCCACGUGUCGUGUUCACACGCUGUAAUAUAUCACAGCAUAAUGCAUCUCUAGGAAAGGAACAAUUGAACACUGGCAGUUUGUGGCAGUUCCUGACAUCUGAAGCUUCCCCAGAAAUCAAUACGAUCAGAAAUGCUUAGAAAAGAUGUAUCAGGCUAAAAGGGAUACAGAGUUAGGUAAAGAGCUAAAGGGAUUUUUUCAAAAUUAAUUGUACUCAGAAAUGUACUUGAAUUGUGGAGGUGGGUAAUCAUGUGGAAACAGUUGUUGCCCGUCUUUACGGGUACAAAUUGUUUGUCUAAUAUAUCUCAGAAACUGGUAAAUUUAGGUGUAGUGUUUUUACAUGCGUAUCUUUACCCAGCAUGAACCGCCUGCUGACUUCAACAGUUUAAUGAGGAUCUAUCUGAGGCAUUAAAGAAGGGUAGCAAAUCAAACUAUCCCAUUGCUGUGUUUGAUGGACUAAUAGAAGUCGUUGAAAAGCAUUAGAAUUGGCAUUAGCUGGGGAUACUGAACCCCAAACAAAGGGGUAGCUAAGAACCACAACGUGAAACCAACUAAAAGAUAAAAACAAAACUUGUCAUCAAAUUUUGAGUGAGUGAAUUGCAAAGUUUAAGGGAGAAUCUUGUUUUAGUCCUGCUUUCAACAUUCUUGUUUGUUGAGUUUUUGUACAAAAGAUAGCUGUGGGAAUGAAAAUGGUUGGACAUGAGAGCUUAAGGUGUUUUGGAAUUUUUUAGUAUUUUUGUCAUUCUGUGGAUGUGUAUAGGUUUUCAUGUUUAGUUUUCAGUUCCUUAAAAUUUGUUGUGUUUUAGAAGGUAGUUGCAAAAAUAAAAAUAUUGAUGUGUAUGUAAAUGUAUUUGAAGAUUUGUAACAAUAUGCAUGCCCUGCAUGCCCACGCAAAAUUCUAGGCCCCUCUUUAAGUGACUUUCAAGUAAGUUGUUUUCAUUGAGUUUUGUCACCUUUCACCUCUGGAUAAGAAUCCUUGUCUCUUCAUUUGGAGCAAUUUAUGUUUCUUAACAGAAUGAGGACAGAAACAGUCUCCUGGUGUUUGUUAUUGCUCUUUCAAACAGCCAUGGUGUCUGUUUGAGCAUGGUGUCUCUUGAGAUUUCCAAGCAGCUAGGAGAAACUAGUGACAACUCUUGCUGCUCAGUAGUUUCUGAAGAGCAGGACUGAAACUGGCAGGAGCAUUGCUAGCUUUACACUGCUUUAGUUUUGAUAAAUGAGAAGAGAAAACCAAAGCAAAUUUUGUAUAUGUUAUCUUUGGUACCAAGGAGGUCUAGAAACUUGAAAAAACCAGAGGAUAGUGUUUUGCAUCAAGUUAACAAUUACUCCUAUCACUAUUCAUUGUGGAAAGCGUCUCAUUCACAACUCGUAAAUAGAUACACGUAUGUGUUGAUUUUUGAGGUUUUGUUUUUUAAACUUUUAUGAAUUUAAUCCAAGCAACUGUGCACUUCAUGUCUUUGUAUACAAAGUUCCCAUUAUUUACUGUGCUAAAAAGCAUCAUAAGUAAGGAUGCAGCCAGUGUCAGAGUGGUUUGACCUAAUACCUUCUUCUUCACAUUGUGUAUGUAACUUAAACUGGUUUGUGCUGCAAGAAUGAAAAAUCCUGUUUUACCUUAUGGUGCACAGUUUUCAAUCUGACUUCUCAAGAAUUAAUUAAUGUACUAAUUUGCAAAAUCCUAGGAAAGUAAUAUAUUUUCUGCAUCCUCCUAAAUGUAUCAGGCUUAACAAUAUGUUUCUUUAAAGGAAGAAUUCUAAGAUGGUGAUCAUCCAUAACAAUCAGUUUGUCUCUAGUGACAUAAUUUCUGUGGGAAUUGAGUCAAUCUAAACAGGUAUAAUGUAGUAGCAAUGUCAGAUUGCAUAGCUGCCAUACUUCACCAUUUUUUAAAUUUAUUCCCAUUGUCUGAAGACAGGAAUUAAAAUACUUCAGUAGUCACACUGGAGUAUGGAUGCUUGAAAACCAGUUACUGAUUAUUACGGACAGAUUUUGCUGUUUUAAAAAUAGUCAUGUGUGUUGUGUUAUGGUUUAUGAUCUCUUGCGUAUGUAUUAUUAAAUAAAAACAUUCAGUCCUCUGUUUGUAUGCCUACUCCUUAUUCAUGUUUAUGAAAUGAAGUUGCACAUCCUGUUUUGAGUAUUCUAGAUUUAAUGGUGUUCAUUUAGUUGAAUGAAUUUAGAAUUACACUAGCAAAUGACUCAGUGAAUUGUUUCUUGUUUCAUUUCUGGUUUGUGGAAAUACUUUUUUUUUUCUACUUUCCAUUAGUGAAACUUUAUUUUCAAUUCUUUGUAUUUUCUUGGAGUGUCGGUUCCUAAAAUUGACUUUUCAGUUGAUGAUUUUUUUUUCCUUUUUGGAAAUACACUUUUGCUCCCCUAUAAAAAUUGUAGUUGAAAGAUUUACUAGAACAAUGACCCUGAAAUAUUCUGCUUGACUGCAGCUAGCUGAAGAACUAAUCUUGAAUAAAUGUGGAUUUUAAAGAUACCAACAUACAGCUUUAGUACCCCUAGACCCAGAUGGUCUUGCGAUUUCUAUUUUUGCUUCCAAGUGAAUGUAAGAAGUUUUGAAGGUGUACCCUGGGAUUUUGGACAGUCUCAAAAAAUGGUAAAGACAUUUGAAAUUUGCACAUUCACUUAGAGCAGAAUUUGUUAAUAUUUAUCAAGAUAAAUUGUUCUCAGCUUAUCAUUUUUUUUCCUGUUUCUGUACUUUACCAUGAAUUUAUUUGUUCAUUUAAAGCUAUUCCUUAUAAGUUGUCAUGUCUUGCACGACUUGAGAACGCUGUACCUGCUUGAAAGAUUUAAGUAUAAGGAUGCAAACUGCCAGAAAACAUCAGCAUGUACGUAGCUAUAUGUAGCUGUAAUGACUUACGUAUAUGCAACUGACUUUUGAAAAAUCUUCCUUGUUAUGAAAAAGUGUUUGUGAAGAUCACAAAGGCCUUCAAAACCGCUUUGUUUCUCUUGCUCUCCUUUUGCCCUACUUGUCGCGUGUUGUUUUUCUCUUGAAAGCAAUUAACCUCUGCUGAUACCUAUGUCAGGUUGGUAUGUUGCAUAAAAUAGACGUAUGAAAACAUAACCAGGACCUACAAUUCCAUUCUUAUGCUAAUUUUAACUUUAGAUGUGAUCUCUGCUUCAGAGCCUUCACACAAGCAAAAAAAUUAUUUUAAAAAAAGAAUUUGAAAAGGUCAUUCCACAUUCUUAAUCCAAAAGGCAAAUCUUGCCUGUUCAAAGUGGAAUUGGAAUGCAAAUUUGGGUAGAAGUGUUGGAUUGUGAACAGUUGUGAGUUUAAUUUGUUUUCAAAAUACCCGGAACUUCAGUUGAGAAGGUCUACAUCAAUAGUUUCUUUUCUACUACUAGAUGCAGUAGCAGAAUACUGUGUCAAAAUAUUAUUUUUUGCUUUAAAUUACAUCCAAACUUGUGACUGAUCAAAUUACAGUUGUAGUGCAGCUAGACUACCCAGUUUUAUUAGGAGCACAUUUUCCAUUCAUCUUUGUUUAUGAUGACUCUGCUUAAGUGUCCUUAUCCAUUAUAUUAUCUAAUUAAACACUAAUGUAUUGUGAAUUUUUUCCCAUAUGAUUCAUGUUUGUUUCCUUCUGUAACUUACACUGUUUCUGAUUUAGUUCUGCUCUCCAGCCUCUUGCUGUUUGCUGUCUCACAGUCUUCUGCAAUUGCUUAUUUGGAGCUACUCUCUUUGUUAUGGUAUCUGUACAGCUGGCUCACUCAGCUUUUUAAAUCCCAACUUAAAAUUGAUUUCUUAAUUAUUUCAUUGCACAUUCUUCUUAUUUACAUCUGUCUUUUAAUUGCUGGAACACAUUCUAAUGUUAGAUGCUGUUCAUUUGUCUUUUGUUUUUUUCUCACUGUGAAGCUCGUAAUACUUUUGCAGGAACUGUUUGUUCAUACACAAAGGGAAGCUGCUGUUUUGGAGCUGCUGUAGUACUGAAGCUUGCAACACAUAUUCUGAAUACCCAGAAUUAACAUAAAGACAAACAGAAAAAAAGAAUGAGAGUCUACCAAAACAAACAAAUAGAUACAAUUGAAAGUCUAAUUUUGUUUAACAACAAAUCAUCGGUCAAUGCCAUAUGGAGAAACAUGGAUAUUGGAAUGGCUAUUUUCUGAGAUGUGAACUGAAGCUUUGGUGUACUCUGCAUAGUUGGUCUGAUUCUCCUAUUUGCCAAGUUAAAGGUCUGUCUGGUAGAUACAAAUGUAUGGUAUUUAUAAGGAUAACAAUAUGUUUGAAAAUCAGAUGCACAGACCAAAUUUGUUUGCACUAUAAAGCUGUGCAAAAAUCUAGUGUAAUUCUAUCUGAGUUUAGUUUACUGGAGCAUGGAAUAAGCAAUUCAGUGCAAGAAUGAUCAUGUGUUGAUAAAGAAUUGGAAAAGGAUUAUGAUUCUCAUGUAAGGCUAUGCAUAUCAGCAGUUUUUGAUUGCAAGACCAAACAAGGAAAGCCUAGUUUGGAUGGAUCCAAACAAUAAACUUUUUUUUUUCCUCUCAUGAAAAUAAAAGCCUAAAAAGAUUUUAUGUGCGAUCAAAUAGAUGUCAUUUUUUACCCAAGUAUUAAAAGCUUGGAUUAGAGCUAUUGUUACAAAGAGAGCAGGUGGUCUAGGGGCUUCCACGAAACAAAUGAUUUGAAAAAUCCCUUUAUUUGGUUCCCUCUUCUUACUGGGGAGGUUUGAACAGAGAUGUCUGUGCUAGGCAGUACCCUAUAUCACUGGUCUUUAGAUAUUCUGAAGACCUUUCAUUUUCUCUUAAUGAUGCUGACUAACUAUGUAAGUACUGGAAGGAGAAGAGCUCCUGUGUCAUCUUCAAAGAAGUACUUUGAAAUACUCUCUGCCUCUCUCACCACUUAAAUAAUUGUUCUGACUGUUAGGUAAUAAUCUUUCUCUAGUUCAAUGACUGGUUCAAGUAUUUUAUAGGAAUAAAAAACAUUUGUCAACACAGAUGAAGACCUUCUGAACUGUUGUCCUUAGGAAGGUGAAUUGGUAUCAAUGGUAAAUGAUAAUGAUUCUGAUUUCUUUGAGGAGAGGAUAGAAUCGAACCUUGUUUUUUUUAAUAUCCUCGAAGAAUUCAGUGACUACUGGGCUUUCCUAUUAAAGAUGAAUUAUACCCAACACUUCAUGCAUGCAGGGCAUGUUCUGAAUGGACCAAAUCAGUUUCUGUGGAGCAGCGAGGUAGAGAAAAAACGAGUUUGAAGAUCUGUAGAUGGUUAGGUAUAGUGAAGACCUAGACAACUGUGGGGAUGACCAAAAGCAGAUCUUUUCUUAUUUUUCAGAAUACUAAAAAAUAUGUAAAACAAUUUUAGAUAACAUUAUGAUGUAUAUCUGUUACUACAUUGUGUCUGUUUGUGUACACACACAUAUGCAUAAAGCUAUUUUUAAGGAUUAGGAAGGUCACAAAGUCAUGAGCUUGGCCUAGAUUCAUGAUCCCUUGGUUAUACCCACAUCUGCCUGCCCUAUCCUCCCCAGGAGAUUACUACAACCACAGCCGAGGCUGCUAUUCAAAUCCUCAUGUAUUAGCAAACUGAAAACAGUGGUAGUUCAAAUUAAAAGUACCACGCUGGACCGGCAGCUGCAGACUCAGUCUUUCUCAUGUUUAUUUGAUGUGACUGAGGAGGUUACCACUUCCUCGUGUAUGACCAAUGUUCUUUUCGGCUGUUCCAGCUAUAUCCAGCAUGGAUAGCAACAUUACAGAAUGGAAAAAUUAAUACUUCUCUUUUCAGUCAUAGUGUUUUAAUUUUUAUCCCAUAUUAUCUUAGCUAUCUUACCCCAUCUCUUCCUAUGCCUUGAGAAGAUGUCUCACUUGGCAGUGUACUAAUCUGUCUUUCCUCCUUGUUCAAAAUAGUUCCCAAACCCUAAUCAUGCAGGUUAUGCAAACCCCACUCUGAAGAAAAUACUGGAAUUUCCACAGAAGACAUUUCUAGGCAGAUGCUUAAGUUUGAUUCUGACUUAUAUGACAUGCACUAUAUGGAAGGUCAUACAUCAUGGCAGACACAUUUUGUUCAUCAGAGUUGGCUUCCCAAAUGCUUUGAGAAACUAGCCAAAAUCACAGCAUGGAAAAUUCCUUGACUGAGAAGAGUGUUUCAGGAUUCAUCUGGACUUUUUUUUCCAACAGCAUCUACUAUAAUGACAAAUACCAGCUAAGGGUAUACAUCUCUGCAUCUCUACAGGGGAGCAACGUGGGGGUGUAGGCAACAGAAAAUCUCUAAGUACUUUUCAUUCCACUUUCCUGCUGUGAAAAGAUUCAGAUAUCUCCAAACCUUUUCCUCUUCCGCAUCAGAAUCUCCACAAACUCAUCAGGAACCUCUUUCUUUCUCCAUUAAAAUAAUAGCAAAACCACCUAAUUUCCCUUUUGCAUUCCUACUUGGAUCUACAUACGCGUUUGACAUUUCAUCCUACGUGCACUUCCAGCAGAUGUAGGCUCUGUGGCCUUGCAAUUAGGUACUAUGGUAAGUGAUAUCUAAUUUUAGGAGAUGCCAUAUGGCUUUUUCUGUAUUUUCCUAGAUAGUUUAUGAAAGGUAAGCCUGCUGUUUCAUUACAGAGAUCCAUCACCCCCUGAAGUCAUGGGAAGGCACAUGCUUCCUCAAGAGGAUCCAGUACUCCUUGGACUGCAGUCCAUAAGCAGACUCUUCAAGAGCCUUUCCUACCUCCUAGUUACAGAUGCAUUAAUCAGACUCCAUUUUCUUCACUGCUUUGGAUUGCGUUCUUACAGUGAUGUGCCAGCCUCCUGCCUCCACCGGUUACUCAGCUGUCCCCUCUGUCACUGCAGACAGAUCUGGGGACAGCACAAUCGCCACUUUAAGCAUUGCAUGGUUGUGAUUCCAAGUAGAAGGCUAAUGUCUACACAGAGCAUUGGAGAGACAGAUGACACACCAGGAGCAAGGCUUGGAGCAUCUACAGCACCCUUUGCCUCCAACUCGUAGACUUGUGAUGCAAGAGUGGAUAAACAGUCUUUCUCAGCGUACCAAAGAGAAUCCUGCUUUCCCCUUGGAGAAGAACUCCACAAUAAAUGGGCAGCUUUUGUAAGCUCUUAAAGCACUCUGUGGCUUCAGACUCUUUAUAAGGCUGAUUAAGGGGUAGGAAUGGACAGGAUUAGUGGUCCACACCCUGCUUCCAAAUGACAUAAGGCUGCCAGCAUGGCUGCGCCAGCGUGGCUCUGUCAGCAAACUUCCUGCCGGAGCCCAGAGGACACUGCUCCGUGCAGCACUGCCAUGGGUUGGACCUUGGCUGUGAACCGGAUCCUUCCACCACCGUGCCGGCUGGGAGCAAUGGGUCAGCCGGGGGUGAAAGUAGUGGCAGCAGCCACCAUCCAUGCCUGGGGAGGCUCAGCCACCUCCAGCAGCAGUCCCGCUCCCUGGCAGGAGCUGGCCCUUGGCGGCCGCUGAGCUGAUGUAUUUCCCCACAUCCUGCCAGCUCCAGGCAGACAGGCCGGCUGCGAGAGCAGCUGCAGAGCAGAAAGUAAACUCAGAAAGAACUGAGAACUAAUUUUGUGCAGCAAUGGUUGGGAUGGAGGAUGCCUGAUGCAGUCUGCUCCCGCAAAGACCAGUUGUCUUCCCCUGUUUGGCAGCAGUAGCCCCUUGUGAGGCUCUUGUCUUGAAGCUUCCCUCAACUGCGUGAUGGAUUCCCAGUGGGAUGGUGCAUGCUCUGUGGCAGCAGCAUAUAGCCCUCCUGCAGGAACGCUUCUGUGCGAAGCAUCAGGAAGCAAACCUGAGUGCAUUCUCCAUCACUCAAACAGGUGAAAAACAUCUGGGCACAUUGCGUAAUUCAAGGAAAAAUAAUACUAUAAUUUUCAAAAUAUAAUGUCCCAUGAUUAGAAGGUGAAAUUCUUUUCUUCUUUGGCCUUGUAGUAUGUUGACUUUCAGAGGAGAGGCCUCCCCUUUCAUUAUCAUUUUUCAGUGAGAUAGCUGGCAUUUCUUUACAGAAUUGAUCUGCGCUGCCUCCCCUAGAAACAGCCCCCCGUUCUGCUAGGAAAGCUGUGCUGCAAGGCAAUCUCAGCUCCAGGUCCUCUUUCCAUAGAAGAGGAUCGUGUGAAACAGGAAAACUGAUUCCAUCUUGGGUCCUAUGCACAUCUAACUUGGCAAUCCCAGUUCACGUUAGCAGAAGUACCAAAGAUUGGGAAAACUGCUACAGAGGUCCCCGCAGCUUUCCUCUUUUGUUUGUAUUUACUCCCUUUUAGUAUCAGUACAGCUCACUAGGAACUUGUUAUAAAGUAAAAGCUUUAAAUGCAAACUACUUCCCAAGCCAGUGAAAAAUAUUUAAACACUUCAGGCAUUCAGCCUGUGAUUCAGAGAUUUAUUUAUAAAACUGUUGAUUUUGGGACACUAAACCAGUGCAUUUAAACUGCAGAAGUGAGUCAUAUUUGUGGGAGGUAAUUGCUACCAGAAAGUACAACUAACUUUUGUAGGUUUCUCUGUAAAAUGUCCACUUAUGAUCUGCAACUACUAGAAAGAACAUGCUUUGUUGUAUUUCAGCACAAGUUAUCUUUACAGACUUAUGUAGCUUUAUACAUAUAUUCUGUUUUCCUGACAUAUGAUAAAAUAAAUUACUCACAUGCCUGAGAACUUAUUUGGGUGUUUUUUUGUGGACUGUGUUGACCGGGUGACUUAUUUAGCUUAUAUACUUUUCAUGAAAACCAAAGACUUAGUGGUAACUACUAGAGAAAAGCCAUUUAACAUGGGAACAAUGAUUGUAGCUAGCACUUACAAAAAGCGUUUGUUCAUCAGCAAGGUCUCUGGGUUCUUGUAUCAUCCAAAAUCACAGUAAUCUACUCAAUCUCUUCUCUUCUCUGUGGUUAACAGAUCUUGGAAACUGAGGGAACUCCAGAUGUCCAACACCUGCAGAAGCUACUUGCAGAGCAGAAGGGAACUUUCCUCGUUAUCCCUCAGUCAUGGCUGAGGAAUUCAAGUUUAUUUAACUUGUGGUCACCUAGCAGCACUCCCUACCAGCAGAUGAGUCAGACACUAUGCCACCUAUCCCAAGAGAAUAUCCUGCAACUGAGUUCAGAAAAAUGUCAUCCGUCCUGGCAUACCAGGCUUUGAACAGUUUUUCCCAUGUCAAUCAGAGAGAACGUAGGGUCCACCAAAAACCAAAGUGGCCUUUCAUUCCCAGCAGACCAGGAAUCAUUGCUAGCAGACUGAAAAUGGAUUUGCUAUCCAGAAUUGAAACCACAGUCCUCUGAAAAUCUCCUUCCUUCCAAAAUGGGCAGUUACAGAACAGGCUUUCUUUAAAAACUACAAUUACCUGUGUGUGCAAUUUGCCAGGAAUCAGGUAGUCUCUGCUGCAUUUCCCAGGAAUCUUGUGACCAGACCAUGGUCAGGAAGUCUUUCCCCUGUUCUCCAUACUCCUCUAAAGUGAAUCCUGUCCCAUCCUCCCCAUCUCUGACCCAACCACAUAGCCUGUUAGCUGGUGUGGGUCAGAGAUGGGGAGGAUGGGACUUGCACUUGCCUUUCCAUGGCUUUCUAAGAAAGAGAACCAAAUGUUAUCAGCCUUAGCUAUGCCUCUUUGAACAGCUCCACCAUGUUCUCCCUGUGGUUCUCAGACAAAUAAACAGUUUAUUUUUCCUGGUGUUUCUUUUUUUCCUUUUCUUAGGACCAGGUUUUAAUUACCAAUUGGCUUUGGGCAAAUGUGCAGGACUUGGCCAUGGCAGCAGGGCAGCCUGGCAGAGGGCUUCACCUUCAGGGAGCUCCCCAUGCAGCUGGGAUGCCACUCUGGUGGGCUUGCUUAGAGGAGAACUGGUGAGGGCCAACCUAUGCUUUGAGAUACCACACAAUUGAGCAGUGUACACUACAUGCAAACUAGGUACACUUUACACUGAUUUACAAACUGCACCUUUGAGCUGUCAUAUCAGUACUACUUUCUACAGCAGAGUACAUUUGGAAGGUAAAUUUCCUUUCCCCUUGAAUUCGCUCUACAAGAACAUAGGUAUUACUAUUUCAGUCUGAUUAAUGGCCUACUCGCUGUAGUGUCUUCAGCCAAGGAGCAAGAGUUACCAAAUCUUCAGAGAAAGAUAAAACCUGCUAAUAAACAUUUAUAUAGUAAGAUGCUUUUAAGGCACAAUUCUUCCUAAUAUCAAAGUUAUUUUUGCGUGAAAUGUGCGCGAAAAUUGAACACAAAUCUCUUUUGAUGGCUUUCUUGGUGGCUUUAAAAAAGGAAGCAGUUGCAUCUAAACAAAAUACAGUGAUGGUAUUGAAAGCAGAAAAAUAUUUUACUAGACACUAAUAUAUUAUGGCUAUUAUUUCACAAGGCAGAGACUAUCAAAAUGGGAAAAAGACAGGGCUAAGCACAGGUUUUCCUGUUUCCACAGAGUUUUUAGAGAAAACUCUGGAGUUUUUAGAGUUUCCACAGAAUUUUAGAGUUUUCAGUGUUCAUAUUGGAUGGAGAACCGGAUGAUCCUUACCAUACAAUUGGCAAAGCAGUUUAAUGCCUGUGAGCCUUUAGCAAUCAAUAUAUUAGGACUUCAACGGUCAUGGGUAAUAAAGUUAAACAUGUUUGCACCAAGAUUAAGUGUUUCUUAUAUGUAACUUAAUUUCAUAAUCUCAUUAUAUGUAACUUAGUUUUGUAAUCUCAAAUCAGAAAAUUUUUGUCAAUGAUUUUUAAACUUCCUGAUUUUAGAACUGAAACAUGACUGUACAUUUUGCAUAUGCUGAAGAGGGGGUCUCUUUUAAUUCCUCAGCACUCCUCGAGCCUUUCAGAAACCCUCCAAAUGGUUGUGGGCUUUUAGGAAAGUUGAUGAUCACAACUCAGUGUUGGGCCGUUCCGUAAACCAAAUGCUUUGAGGUAAGUGGGUCUCCUUACAUGACUCAUAAUUUUUCCUGCAGCAGUGAAAGAGCAGUAUAUUCUGCUUCACUCACACACUUAGAUCUGCCCAGCAAUUACCUAGAGCUUAGUUCACAUACUUGCAAAAUACCAUUCUUCCUGUGCAGGAUCCUGAUGGAUGUUUGCCUGAAGAGCUGCAUCCCAGUCACAUCUCCUAUCAUACUUUUGUAAAUGAUGUCAGGGUUUUUUUUUGCUAUGGUUUCACAGGAAGGAGAAAUAUGAGGGAAGAGAAUCAUAUUACAAUUGUUUGUACUUCCUGAGACUGAUGCACAUCCC
Molecule: long non-coding RNA, 11854 nt
Organism: Cuculus canorus (common cuckoo)
Lineage: Eukaryota; Metazoa; Chordata; Aves; Cuculiformes; Cuculidae
Exons: 4
Source: RefSeq, a predicted model, not a curated record